RNAcentral lists this ribosomal RNA (378 nucleotides) under uncultured bacterium. RNAcentral describes it as "bacterial SSU rRNA". It matches the Rfam family "Bacterial small subunit ribosomal RNA", at positions 521 to 896 of the family's 1533-position model. The record is from RNAcentral.
UAACACGUAGGGUCCGAGCGUUGUCCGGAUUUAUUGGGCGUAAAGGGCCCGUAGGCGGCUUGAUAAGUCGGGUGUGAAAACUCCAGGCUCAACCUGGAGACGCCACCCGAUACUGUCAUGGCUUGAGUCUGGUAGGGGAGUGCGGAAUUCCUGGUGUAGCGGUGAAAUGCAUAGAUAUCAGGAGGAACACCGGUGGCGAAGGCGGCACUCUGGGCCAGUACUGACGCUGAUGGGCGAAAGCGUGGGGAGCAAACAGGAUUAGAUACCCUGGUAGUCCACGCCGUAAACGUUGGGCACUAGGUGUGGGGGGUUUCAACGCCCUCUGUGCCGUAGCUAACGCAUUAAGUGCCCCGCCUGGGGAGUACGGCCGCAAGGCUA